RNAcentral lists this non-coding RNA (18 nucleotides) under Arabidopsis thaliana (thale cress). The record is from RNAcentral. Lineage: Eukaryota; Viridiplantae; Streptophyta; Magnoliopsida; Brassicales; Brassicaceae.
AGAAUCUUGAUGAUGCUG